UCUCGAUCUCACGCGGGACAACAGCAGGAUCAUCGACGACACCGCCUAUGUUUACAACAACCACCUUGCGCGAGAGCAGUCGCGACGUUGUUUUCUCUCCAUCUUGAAACGCUCGAAGAAAAACUAUCUUGAAAAAGAAGCUUCGUUUCUUCAAACGCCAGAGGAACUCUUGAACAAAACAACGUGGAAAAUACUUCUAAUACUUAAAAUACCGUAAAAACGAAUUAUAGUUUUGAUGCUACGUUGACAUCAUUUUGACUGCUUAUUUUCACUAAUUGUAUUGAAACAUAUCAAGAAUCCCAGAGCGCAGUCACAGUUCCUGCCGCCUUAGUACGGAGGAAAUUAUCAUUCGCAUCCCUGUUUUGUACAGCCCUGGCCACUGCACAUGCACAUGCACUAACGAAUCGAUGGUACGCGGUACCUCGUGCACGUCGUAGUAGCGUAUUCCCAUAGUAAAGAGGUUGUCGUGAAUAAUACCUUCGCGGAAAAGCGUCCACUUGAGCGGGACGGGUAGUACGGUCGCGUAGUAGCGGCCCGGUAGUACGGCUUCGCGUAUGAAUGGAUGUGGAGCACGCGCGUGUUCCCGAUGAAAGGAUCAGCGUGGUGAAAGGGGUGAAACGAGAGCGACCGAAGAGGAGAAAGGAGUUACCCGGGGUCAAUGAUACCCCGGGCUUCAUAUCGACUGCGCUUGAAUCGAUGGAAAGGCAAGAUACUAUUUACGAGCCGAGCCGAGCCGAGCGGUGAGAACGCGAAUUUUACCGGUGUUUCUAAUCGAGUAAUCAGUAGACGCGUACGAGUAAUCGCGGGUCAGGUACAUUGUCUUUGUAACGACACGCAAGUGUAAGGAGAAAUUUUUGCAACAAUCGGAGAAUCGAAGAGAAUUAUAUUCUUGAUCUCAACGUCUGGUUAAGCAAGUGCACAAAUUUUAUUUGUUAUACUAUUUAAAUAUUUAUUUUAUUGUAAGCUGAGAUCACAAAGAAUAAAACUAUAGACAAUUAUACAAUU
Molecule: long non-coding RNA, 1005 nt
Filed under: Ooceraea biroi (clonal raider ant)
Lineage: Eukaryota; Metazoa; Arthropoda; Insecta; Hymenoptera; Formicidae
Description: uncharacterized LOC105280583, transcript variant X1
Source: RNAcentral